GAUAAACGCUGGCGGCGCACAUAAGACAUGCAAGUCGAACGGAAGUCGUAAUUCAAAUAGAGUGAAGAUUUAUCGGAGCAAAGUUUAAAUUACAAUGGCUUUAGUGGCGGACUGGUGAGUAAUGUAUAAGUAACCUGCCUAUUAGAGGGGAACAACAGUUGGAAACAGCUGCUAAUACCGCAUAUGCCAUAAGAAUCGCAUGGUUCAAGUGGGAAAGGAGAAAUCCGCUGAUAGAUGGACUUAUAUCUGAUUAGCUAGUUGGUGUGGUAACGGCAUACCAAGGCGACGAUCAGUAGCCGGACUGAGAGGUUAGACGGCCACAUUGGGACUGAGAUACGGCCCAGACUCC
Molecule: ribosomal RNA, 349 nt
Filed under: uncultured Oscillospiraceae bacterium
Lineage: Bacteria; Bacillati; Bacillota; Clostridia; Eubacteriales; Oscillospiraceae
Description: bacterial SSU rRNA
Rfam family: Bacterial small subunit ribosomal RNA
Source: RNAcentral